UACGUAGGCAGCAAGCGUUGUUCGGAAUUACUGGGCGUAAAGAGUGCGUAGGCGGUUCCGCAAGUUUGUCGUGAAAUCUCCCGGCUUAACUGGGAGGGUGCGGCGAAGACUGCGGGGCUGGAGUGUGGGAGAGGUAAGCGGAAUUCCUGGUGUAGCGGUGAAAUGCGUAGAUAUCAGGAGGAACACCGGCGGUGUAGACGGCUUACUGGACCAUGACUGACGCUGAGGCACGAAAGCGUGGGGAGCAAACGGG
Molecule: ribosomal RNA, 253 nt
Filed under: uncultured bacterium
Lineage: Bacteria
Description: partial 16S ribosomal RNA
Rfam family: Bacterial small subunit ribosomal RNA
Source: RNAcentral